RNAcentral lists this ribosomal RNA (189 nucleotides) under Triticum aestivum (bread wheat). Its description in RNAcentral is "partial small subunit ribosomal RNA". Lineage: Eukaryota; Viridiplantae; Streptophyta; Magnoliopsida; Poales; Poaceae. The record is from RNAcentral.
AUGCUUCCUCGCUGCGGUCUUCUUGAAUUUCUUCUUCAUAGGUGCAUUGUCAGUACGGGUUUAGCUUAUGACGUGUUUGGAAGUCCUAGGCCAAACGAGUAUUUCAUGGAAAGUCGACAAGGAAUUCCAUUAAUAACCGACCGUUUUGAUUCUUUAGAACAACUCGAUGAAUUUAGUAGAUCCUUUUAG